CAUCAACUGUAUUAAAAAAAAAAACCAACAGCAAAACAUUCAGUUAUCUGAGUACUUCUGCUGGUCCUUAUCCAACGAUGUCAGUUCUGGAUGCGUACGUUUGUACUAUGAAUACUCCAAACUCCACUGAGUAACAGUGGACCAGCUCAUUAAUGUUAACUUCCUUCUACAUAAUUAACGCAGUGCAGCACAAAACGUUUAUUUCAGUUUAGUGAAAAAUGCUAUUUUCUUCCAAGAUCUUGGUUUUAGAAGCUCCUCCUGUAACGACAGGUUUAGAAUUAAGACUGAGUGAAGUCUGAAUUCUUUUCUCCUCGUGACAGAAGAUACUAAGCCAGUAAAAGAAAGAAAUGCUAGCAGUUAGCAAAGCACUGACAACACAGGAGAAAGAUGCAGAUAAAAGAAUGUAACAGGGAUCAACAUGCCUUGUGAGUGAAUUAAAAAAUCUUCUGAGAGUUAGGUGAUGUGUUUACCUGGCACAAUGUAAUUCAGGCACUUCUACAGGCCUGCUUAUUAAUUUAUUAAUAAUUUAUUAAUUACCCGAAGCACUCAAAAAUUGUUCCUAAAUAAAAGAUUUGCCUGUGGAUCAAUGACAUAUUUGAAAUAAGACAAGAAUGAAAUAAUCUGCAUUUCAACUUGGAGAAUGCAACAUCGAUCAACAGGCUUCAGCUUUACUGUAAAUUGACUUGCUCCUUUAGGCCUGGAUGUACUGCAGAAAUAAGCAUCACAUAUACAGCUCAAAUUCAAUGCACAACUAGAUGUCAACAGCAAGUUCAGACUUUAUAACCAGUCUGAAUUGCGAUUUUUUUUUUUACAUAUCCUUAUAUAUGUGUAAGAGCAAGGUGGAUUCCAUUUUGCUUUAUGUAUCUGUAUGGGAACUGCUGAGUCCCGGCCUGCCCCACUGAUGGAGACCUGUGGGAAGGACCCGUCAGCCCUGGGAGCACUGGGAGCACAGGUGAAGGCAAUGCAGCUGUGUGAGCAGGAGUGGAGCCUGGCUGCACCUCUCUUAGACCCCAUGGAAGGGCUGACUGCCACUGGGGAAGGAUCUCUUCCUGGAGAUCCCUCCUUGGUGGAGCUUUUCCCUGUGAACCUGGAGUCUUCUGAUACAGAUGCGGCUCAUACAUCUGGCACCAGUGUUACUUGUCAUCUCACAGAUCAAUUGCCAUAGUGCUGUGCCACACUUCUCUCACAGUCCACAGAAGUCCUUGAUGUAGUAAAAAGCUUUUGAAUUUAACAUACACCCAAAGGUCAGAGCACCAGAGUAAAAUCUGGGAUUGUGCAAAUGUUAGGGCCUCUAUAGCUUCAGGACAUGGCCCUGUUGGGAGUUCAGUCCAGACCUAAAUGGAAAUAUGCUCCUUUGAAUUCACUCAUUCUUCUUCUAGACAGUCAGAUAAAGAAUAACAUGGUCCUCUAUCCCCAGAGACAAAGAUCCUUUAAGAGACUCCAAUAUCUAACGUAAUCCAUGCAUCAGUUUGGUCCAUCUGCCUGACUAAAUCUUAAUAGACCUGAGUCUUCUUUAGAGAGGAAUUGACGCAGUUUGAUUGCUUUUAUAUUGACAGCUACAGCUUUACUAAUACCUUUUGUUAAGCAAAAGAGAACUACAGGGCUUCUGAAAGCCCCUGUGAACAUCACCGAUUUCUAAUGCCAUGAUGACUUCUUCAUGAGAAAACAACUUCUCAGCAUUAGUGAUGAUGGGGAUAUUUGCAGUCUAACCACCAAACCAACAGUGUCACAAGCUGAAAUACAUCAAGGCUACGUAACGUGCAGAGCACUGCUCUCACUUCCCUAUCCUUGCUCAGUUAUUUCUGUGGCCACAUAUGGACAGAACCUCAACACAGCUCAACAGGGAGGCUGGAUUUUCAGAGUGACCUUAUCAGUAUCUCUACCUAUUUCCUGACUCAAGAGCACAUUCAGAGGCUUCUAUUUGAAACACCGUAUGACUUUUUAUUUAAAAAAGGGAACAGCAACCUUGUUCC
Molecule: long non-coding RNA, 1973 nt
Organism: Tympanuchus pallidicinctus (lesser prairie-chicken)
Lineage: Eukaryota; Metazoa; Chordata; Aves; Galliformes; Phasianidae
Exons: 3
Source: RefSeq, a predicted model, not a curated record